GCCCUAGUAGCUUAGACCUAAAAGCGCCGGUCUUGUAAUCCGGAGAUCGGAGGUUAAAAUCCUCCCUAGUGCC
Molecule: transfer RNA, 73 nt
Filed under: Horabagrus brachysoma (Gunther's catfish)
Lineage: Eukaryota; Metazoa; Chordata; Actinopteri; Siluriformes; Bagridae
Description: tRNA-Thr
Rfam family: tRNA
About the family: Transfer RNA (tRNA) molecules are approximately 80 nucleotides in length. Their secondary structure includes four short double-helical elements and three loops (D, anti-codon, and T loops).
Source: RNAcentral